UGGCGCACGGGUGCGUAACGCGUGGGAAUCUGCCCUCUGGUACGGAAUAACUCAGGGAAACUUGAGCUAAUACCGUAUAACGACUUCGGUCCAAAGAUUUAUCGCCUGAGGAUGAGCCCGCGUCGGAUUAGCUAGUUGGUGAGGUAAAAGCUCACCAAGGCGACGAUCCGUAGCUGGUCUGAGAGGAUGAUCAGCCACACUGGGACUGAGACACGGCCCAG
This 221-nucleotide ribosomal RNA is filed under the name uncultured bacterium. RNAcentral's name for it is "partial 16S ribosomal RNA". It matches the Rfam family "Bacterial small subunit ribosomal RNA", at positions 96 to 334 of the family's 1533-position model. The record is from RNAcentral.